GCAUCCUGGGGCUGUAGUCGGUCCCAAGGGUUGGGCUGUUCGCCCAUUAAAGCGGUACGCGAGCUGGGUUCAGAACGUCGUGAGACAGUUCGGUCCCUAUCCGUCGCGGGCGCAGGAAAUUUGAGAGGAGCUGUCCUUAGUACGAGAGGACCGGGAUGGACACACCGCUGGUGUACCAGUUGUUCCGCCAGGGGCAUCGCUGGGUAGCUAUGUGUGGCCGGGAUAAGUGCUGAAAGCAUCUAAGCACGAAGCCCCCCUCAAGAUGAGAUUUCCCAUUGCGCAAGCAAGUAAGAUCCCUCAAAGACGAUGAGGUAGAUAGGUUCGGGGUGGAAGCGCGGCGACGCGUGCAGCUGACGAAUACUAAUCGAUCGAGGACUUAACCA
RNAcentral lists this ribosomal RNA (383 nucleotides) under Planococcus glaciei. RNAcentral describes it as "bacterial LSU rRNA". It matches the Rfam family "Bacterial large subunit ribosomal RNA", at positions 2542 to 2925 of the family's 2925-position model. Lineage: Bacteria; Bacillati; Bacillota; Bacilli; Caryophanales; Caryophanaceae. The record is from RNAcentral.